Molecule: RNase P RNA, 403 nt
Filed under: Mycobacteroides saopaulense
Lineage: Bacteria; Bacillati; Actinomycetota; Actinomycetes; Mycobacteriales; Mycobacteriaceae
Description: bacterial RNase P
Rfam family: Bacterial RNase P class A
About the family: Ribonuclease P (RNase P) is a ubiquitous endoribonuclease, found in archaea, bacteria and eukarya as well as chloroplasts and mitochondria. Its best characterised activity is the generation of mature 5'-ends of tRNAs by cleaving the 5'-leader elements of precursor-tRNAs.
Source: RNAcentral
CGAGUUGGCCGGGCGGCCGCGGGCCGCAGGAGAAAUCCUGCGGUUCGAGGAAAGUCCGGACUUCACAGAGCAGGGUGAUUGCUAACGGCAAUCCGAGGUGACUCGCGGGACAGUGCCACAGAAAACAGACCGCCACCCUUGGGUGGUAAGGGUGAAACGGUGCGGUAAGAGCGCACCAGCGGACCGGGUGACCGGUUCGGCUCGGUAAACCCCACCCGAAGCAAGGCCAAAAGGCUGUGUUCGCACAGCUGCGGAAGUGUUCGAGGGCUGCUCGCCCGAGCUUCCGGGUAGGCCGCUCGAGGUACCCGGCGACGGUGUGCCCAGAUGGAUGGUCGCCGCUGCGUGGCCGCGGCUAGCCCGCGGCUGUGCGGAACAGGAUCCGGCUUACAGGCCAACUCGCCCG